Molecule: ribosomal RNA, 497 nt
Filed under: uncultured bacterium
Lineage: Bacteria
Description: partial 16S ribosomal RNA
Rfam family: Bacterial small subunit ribosomal RNA
Source: RNAcentral
GAUGAACGCUGGCGGCGUGCCUAAUACAUGCAAGUCGAGCGAACAGACGAGGAGCUUGCUCCUCUGACGUUAGCGGCGGACGGGUGAGUAACACGUGGAUAACCUACCUAUAAGACUGGGAUAACUUCGGGAAACCGGAGCUAAUACCGGAUAAUAUAUUGAACCGCAUGGUUCAAUAGUGAAAGACGGUUUUGCUGUCACUUAUAGAUGGAUCCGCGCCGCAUUAGCUAGUUGGUAAGGUAAUGGCUUACCAAGGCAACGAUGCGUAGCCGACCUGAGGGGGUGAUCGGCCACACUGGAACUGAGACACGGUCCAGACUCCUACGGGAGGCAGCAGUAGGGAAUCUUCCGCAAUGGGCGAAAGCCUGACGGAGCAACGCCGCGUGAGUGAUGAAGGUCUUCGGAUCGUAAAACUCUGUUAUUAGGGAAGAACAAAUGUGUAAGUAACUAUGCACGUCUUGACGGUACCUAAUCAGAAAGCCACGGCUAACUACGUG